This 351-nucleotide long non-coding RNA is filed under the name Gossypium raimondii (Peruvian cotton). Its description in RNAcentral is "long non-coding RNA (GRAI_LNC010738)". The record is from RNAcentral. Lineage: Eukaryota; Viridiplantae; Streptophyta; Magnoliopsida; Malvales; Malvaceae.
AAAAAACGGUGAAGAUUGAAGAAAAAGACAUCAUGAGACAUGAGAAUAAGAGCAUGUUUUUGCGGCCAAGAGUGGAGUCAGCAAGCGUUGCAAGUGCAAGUCCGCCUGCAAGGCAACCCAUGAAGAAAGCAGAAGCAGGGAGGCCAGUGAUGAAAGAAGGCGCACAUUCCAGGCCCCAUUCCGCUAUGAUUGAUGUGUGGGAAGGCCAAUCCCAAGACCAUGAAUUCUUAGGGAGCUCGCAAAUGUUGGACAAAGCGUUACAAACAGACUCGUCUCCGCCUUGGGUGCAGUGCCAGGAUGGCUCAGCAUCAGUGAAUACACUGAUGAAGGUUUGCUGAGCAUCAAAGACCC